Molecule: transfer RNA, 65 nt
Filed under: Microcondylaea bonellii
Lineage: Eukaryota; Metazoa; Mollusca; Bivalvia; Unionida; Unionidae
Description: Unio bonellii tRNA-Lys
Source: RNAcentral
CCCGCGAUGGCCGAGACCACAGGCAUUAAGCUUUUAACUUAGACACAGUACAACACUUCGUGGGC